Molecule: long non-coding RNA, 431 nt
Filed under: Ananas comosus (pineapple)
Lineage: Eukaryota; Viridiplantae; Streptophyta; Magnoliopsida; Poales; Bromeliaceae
Description: long non-coding RNA (ACOM_LNC022381)
Source: RNAcentral
UAAUACAUGUCUCCUAACUAGAGUUUAAUUCUAAUUCAAUUAGAAUUACACUCCUAAUUAUAAUGCAUAUAUGCCAAAUUAAAUCUAAAUUAUAUAUAAUCACUAUAACAGAAUUAGGUUAUAGGGACACAUGUUUGGGACACUUUUGAGUAAGUGUCCCAUUUAUGCUAAAACUUAAAAAAACGUCUACUAAUGCCUAAAUAUAAAGCCCAAUCCAACCAAAAAUAAAAGAUUACUCUACUCAACCCACCACACCCAGUCCAUUUGGCCCGAUUACUAACAAAAAAGAAAAAAAAAGAAAAAUCAAUUACCAUCUUUUCUUCUUUCUUCACUCAAUCCACUGAAAGUCUAGACGAAGAGCCUUUCCUAUCGUCCUCCUCCGCCACCGCAGCCAACAAGAUAGAGUUUCGACAGUUGCUAAAUGCUUAAAU